UACAAAGGUCUCGAGCGUUAGGCGGAAUCACUGGGCUUAAAGCGUGUGUAGGCGGAUUGGUAAGUACCUUGUGAAAUCCCACAGCUUAACUGUGGAACUGCUUGGUAUACUGCCUGUCUUGAGCCACUUAGGGGCUACCGGAACAAAUGGUGGAGCGGUGAAAUGCGUAGAUAUCAUUUGGAACGCCAAUGGUGAAAACAGGUAGCUGGGAGUGUGCUGACGCUGAGACACGAAAGCCAGGGGAGCAAACGGGAUUAGAUACCCUGGUAGU
Molecule: ribosomal RNA, 271 nt
Filed under: uncultured bacterium
Lineage: Bacteria
Description: partial 16S ribosomal RNA
Rfam family: Bacterial small subunit ribosomal RNA
Source: RNAcentral